UACGUAGGCAGCGAGCGUUGUUCGGAGUUACUGGGCGUAAAGGGUGUGUAGGCGGUUGUUUAAGUUUGGUGUGAAAUCUCCCGGCUCAACUGGGAGGGUGCGCCGAAUACUGAAUGACUUCGAGUGCGGGAGAGGAGAGUGGAAUUCCUGGUGUAGCGGUGAAAUGCGUAGAUAUCAGGAGGAACACCGGUGGCGAAGGCGGGUCUCUGGGCCGAAAUUGACGCUGAGGAGCGAAAGCGUGGGGAGCAAACAGG
RNAcentral lists this ribosomal RNA (254 nucleotides) under uncultured bacterium. RNAcentral describes it as "partial 16S ribosomal RNA". It matches the Rfam family "Bacterial small subunit ribosomal RNA", at positions 524 to 776 of the family's 1533-position model. The record is from RNAcentral.